GACGAACGCUGGCGGCGUGCCUAAUACAUGCAAGUAGAACGCACAGUUUAUACCGUAGCUUGCUACACCAUAGACUGUGAGUUGCGAACGGGUGAGUAACGCGUAGGUAACCUGCCUGGUAGCGGGGGAUAACUAUUGGAAACGAUAGCUAAUACCGCAUAAUAUUAAUUAUUGCAUGAUAAUUAAUUGAAAGGUGCAAUUGCACCACUACCAGAUGGACCUGCGUUGUAUUAGCUAGUAGGUGAGGUAACGGCUCACCUAGGCGACGAUACAUAGCCGACCUGAGAGGGUGAUCGGCCACACUGGGACUGAGACACGGCCCAGACUCCUACGGGAGGCAGCAGUAGGGAAUCUUCGGCAAUGGACGAAAGUCUGACCGAGCAACGCCGCGUGAGUGAAGAAGGGUUUCGGAUCGUAAAGCUCUGUUGUAAGAGAAGAACGGGUGUGAGAGUGGAAAGUUCACACUGUGACGGUAGCUUACCAGAAAGGGACGGCUAACUACGAG
This 505-nucleotide ribosomal RNA is filed under the name uncultured bacterium. RNAcentral describes it as "partial 16S ribosomal RNA". It matches the Rfam family "Bacterial small subunit ribosomal RNA", at positions 28 to 507 of the family's 1533-position model. The record is from RNAcentral.